Oncorhynchus tshawytscha (Chinook salmon) is the source of this 1682-nucleotide long non-coding RNA. The record is from Ensembl. NCBI's taxonomy places the organism in Eukaryota, Metazoa, Chordata, Actinopteri, Salmoniformes, Salmonidae.
UUCCUCAGUGAGAAUUUAUUCUGGAAAGUGUAGAAAGGAUGAUACAACAGUGCUUUAUGAUCAAACUAUUUCAUAAAAGUUAAAGUGAUCAUAACACCGUAAGUCCAGAUUUCUUUCCAUCUUUAUUUUUCAAACCAAAACAAAUUGGUAACAUUCAACACAAGUGCAUACACUGCUGGUAGGAGAUCACCUCCAAUUUCACUUUGGAUGGUAUAGCACCGUUCUUAGCUAUUUAGCAGCUUAUCAGACGCAUGUAGUGACCAUGUUUGUUAAUAUGAAAAAUUCAGAAGAAUGAAAAGAUCUCCUCAUUUGGCUCUCUAGCUAGCACAAGAUCUACCUCUGUGUCCUCCAAGGCAUUUGAUCAAAUUGACAUUUAUUUUAUAGCAUUUGCCAGUAUAUUUCAUAUUACAGCUGAAUGUUAAGCUUUUACAAGAAUACAGAAGCAGCAUCUUUUUUAAAAAUUUAUUCACAGAUAUAAACCAGCACAGCAGUAACUUUAAUGCACUGGCACCUUUUUUUGAUCUCAACAUCACAGUAGCUGGAAAGCUAUAGGUGAUGGGCGGACCGGUCAUAUCAAUGCAUUGGGACAGACUUAGUAAGGCAACGUUCGCGUGACAGGCUUCUCUUAUGAUUGGGUUUGUAGAUUCAGCCAGGGCAGUAUUGAUUUUGACAGAGCUCUGUCAAUAUCUUUAUUCUGGGGCAGUGUGAUUUUAGCAUUGCUGUCUGCUAGUGCAUUGUAUUGUCUCUUGCGUGUAGCUCAGGGUUUCUCAAACGCAGUCCUCAGGACCCCAAGGGGUGCACGUUUAGGUUUUUUGCCCGAACACUACACAGCUGAUUCAAAUAAUCAACUAAUCAUCAAGCUUAGAUCAUUUGAAUCAGCUGUGUAGUGUUUGGGCAAAAAAAUAAAUGUGCUCCCAAGGACCAAGUUUGGGAAACUCUGCUGUAGCUGAACUGUUGAGUGAUCACCAACAUUUAUACAGAGAUAAAUAAAACUAGAGGCUCAAUUAUUUCUGGACUUACAGUGACUAUAGAAGAAGAGUAAGUAAAAUUGAAAAACCAAUUAACAGAGGAAAGUAAAAUUCAAGGCAGUGCUGAAGUACUGGUUGCUAAAAAAAAAAAUUACAAAUAUCAAAGCCAACAAUAACAUCUCCUAGACACUGCUCAUUUUGUCCAGUCAACAAAACCCCUCUUUAGUGCAGUUUCAAUCAUAUACAUCUCCCUUUCCCUAAACAGUAUCUCUUUAUCUCGCUCCCAUCUUCCCUCAUUCAAGUCAGUUGUCCAGUCAGUGUUAGUCUUCUCUCUGUCUCAUCCGGCUUGAACAUCACAGGACUCAAAAGGUGAGAAGUUCUUUCUUUAGAGGAUGGCAGGAAGUGAUGGGGGUAUUCACAGUUACAGUCCAACGGUCCAGCUACAAUCACAUCUGCUGUCAUAAUGAACACACCAGACCAUGGCCAUCUGUAAAGCCAGCCAGCCAACCCAUCCUUUACCCCCGGUAGGUUUGGGCCACUCCGUCACACUUCAAGCAGCUCUAUUAUCAGACGGUCCCUGAAAACACACACAGGACUCACAUUAGUACAAUACUGUUCUGAUGAAAAUACAUUUUCCAUGAAUAAAUGUUAUAUAUGUAUUUUUUGAAUAAGCACUGUUAAAAGAUAUAGAAGUUAGUCUCUGAUUUCCUCGUA